GACGAACGCUGGCGGCGUGCUUAACACAUGCCAGUCGAACGAAAAGAGGGAAAGAGCUUGCUCUUUCCGGAAUUGAGUGGCAAACGGGUGAGUAACACGUAAACAACCUGCCUUCAGGAUGGGGACAACAGACGGAAACGACUGCUAAUACCGAAUAAGUUCCAAGGGCCGCAUGGCCCAUGGAAGAAAAGGUGGCCUCUACCUGUAAGCUAUCGCCUGAAGAGGGGUUUGCGUCUGAUUAGCUGGUUGGAGGGGUAACGGCCCACCAAGGCGACGAUCAGUAGCCGGUCUGAGAGGAUGACCGGCCACACUGGAACUGAGACACGGUCCAGACUCCUACGGGAGGCAGCAGUGGGGAAUCUUCCGCAAUGGGCGAAAGCCUGACGGAGCAACGCCGCGUGAGUGAUGACGGCCUUCGGGUUGUAAAACUCUGUGAUCCGGGACGAAAAGGCAGAGUGCGAAGAACAAACUGCAUUGACGGUACCGGAAAAGCAAGCCACGGCUAACUACGUG
RNAcentral lists this ribosomal RNA (513 nucleotides) under uncultured bacterium. Its description in RNAcentral is "partial 16S ribosomal RNA". It matches the Rfam family "Bacterial small subunit ribosomal RNA", at positions 28 to 507 of the family's 1533-position model. The record is from RNAcentral.